This 29-nucleotide non-coding RNA is filed under the name Homo sapiens (human). The record is from RNAcentral. Lineage: Eukaryota; Metazoa; Chordata; Mammalia; Primates; Hominidae.
CUAGAUGCGAUCUAUGAGCUGUGGGCAGU